AGAUGUUGCUGAUCAUGAAAUCCUGGUGCAGGAGAGUCAUUACUCCAAGUCCCUCCUAAUGUAAACUUUAAUUCACAGCUUAAAAAAGGGCCCAGCAUGAAACUCAGCUCCUGUUAAGGAAUGCCUGUAUUUCAUGCCAUGCGGGUAGCUGUGACAUGCAAAGGCUGAACCAACAUCUCUCUGGCCUGCCCUGCUGAGUGUGCAGUGAGACCGUCCUUGAGGAUACCUCUGAGAGACAGACCAGCAUGGGCUGAGGCAGACUGGGAGCUGUGGUCACUCUACUGGAGCCUUUACGUCUGUUUCUUCUUGGUGGUAUUUCCCCUCCUAUCAAAAUGAACCUCCAUCCCUGGGGAUUCCCAGAACUUGACAAGACCCUCAAAAACCUGAUCUAACUUAGAAGGCAGCCCUGCUUUGAGUAGGGGAGGUGAACUAGAUACCUUCCAAGGUCCCUUCUUACAUAAAUCAUUCCAUGACUCUAUUCAUGCUCCAUACCUAAAGACUGACAAGGCCCUGAGUGAAUCAAAAAGCUCUAAAUGCCAUCAUCGGCCUCUAACCACCUUCAUCUGUGAUUCCCCCACUGCAACCCCUUCCUCACACCCAGGAGUCCGUCUGUCUGUGUUUAAGGUUAGCUCUGAUUUGGUACAGCUGGGUGGCCUUAGACCAGUCUACUGUGAAAACAGCUGAUUCGUGGGAGAGAACAGCAAGAAGCCUCAUCUGGGGCCUCCCAACAGUGACUCAGGCUUUUGCCUUUGGUCCAUGCCUGAGCUGUGUCGUAGGCAUGCUAUGCCCAGCCCCGUGUCUUGCUUUUAUCAUGCUGACUUGACUUGCCGGCUUGAUCUUGGGCUUGCCUCAUCGCUACAGACUCGCCUGGUGAUCACUGGACUGUGGAUGACUCUGGUUCCUGUCACUGGACCUGCUCUGCUCUUCUUGCCCAGAUACGCUACUGCAGAUUACACUUGCUAAGCUUUCAAAGAGGGAGAUGCCAGUGCCAGAGGUCAAGUGGUCGCUUUUCUGCUUCCUUACACUUCAGAGUAAACCCGGAUCAUUCUUUUAAAUCAGGCACUCAUGUUUUCCUUACCUGCUUCUGCUGAGCUGAACAGCAAGAGGACAGCAAGAACAACGAGGGGCUUUCUCUUCGGAUCAUCAACCAUCUUCCUGUUAGUCCACUACAAGUACAAGGAUUGUACAGGGAAAAAUAGCCGUGGAAAACUUCUGACUUCAGAAAUCAGCUAGUGAAACCAGUCCCAGCAAGCGACAGAGUUACAGUGCUUUAUCCUUGCCACCUAGACCUGUCUGUCAAGUUCUGACUGCGGACACUGAUUUGUCACAAGGCUUCGCAGUAAGUCCAUGCCAGGAAGAUUCAUGCCAGCCUUGCGUCUGUGUAUUUUCCUAUUGCAUUGCUGUCUUUUUCCUGUACUUCUACUUUUGGUCGGAUUCCUGUAGCUGCCAAAAGAAGGCAAAGCAAUGGAUUACUUCUGAAAAGUGAGGGGAAAGACAGGCUAAAAUGUAACUGGUGGCCAUAUCACCGUAAUACACUCAGAUUGUACAUUUCUUAGGGUAGGCACACUCUCCACUUUUCCUUUAGAGACUGCAUUUCAGAUACUACAGGAAAUAAAAGGAUGAUGCCAGUAAUGCACCAGUAUCACAAGCAUGCAAAUACUUCAAACAGAUCUUUGAAGGAAAAACUUUACUGCUUUGGUGUAAACAGAUGGAGAAGCAUAAGCGUGCAACCAAACGUGUAACCCCGAGUCUGCCACAUGACAUUCAUGAGAUGGUGGUACCAUCUCCCCGGCUGCGUUAGACUUUCAGGUAAGGGCACAUCUGUUUCCUAAGUCUCGUUGGUGCGUGCUGGUCCUUCUUGCAAAAGAACAAGGCAGCUUUACCCUUGACUGUUAAACGGCAAGAAAGGUAACGAGCGAAAGAGCAUUCCCUGUCCAGGCACUAUUUUACAGCUGCUUUAUUUGAACAACAAAAUGAAGAAAUUGCUUCAGUCUGAUCAGAAAGAUGACCAAAGACCUUUCCAAAAGCAUCAGACAUUAUUUUCCUUUACAUUUAUUGGUAACAGCUGUCAUUUCCUUACCCCAGUUUGCUCCAGCCAAAGGCCUUGGGGCUGUUUCAGGCAGAAGAUCUCUUUUAUUUCCAAGUGACUCCAGAGAGAAAUUUCUCCAGUUCUCACAGGGAAGUUAGGCAGCAUCAGCUGCCUGGCCUGGAGGGCUACUGAAGCCCUGUCCCAUCUGCAUCCUCCCAGAGACACAUAGACAGAUACAUUCUGAUCCUGAAAUACUUGGCUCCAUGAUCAAGCUGGCUUAUUGUCAAAGAAGGAGGUUCUUAGUGUCUCUUCAAAUAUGCGAUUGAGUUUGUCAACCCAAUCAGUUUUCCAGGAUUGAAAGGUGCAAUACAAAUAGCCAACUCCUGGCUUCCAUCCCACUCUUCGUCUUUCCAACCCCAGCAGUAGACUCGCGUUGAUUCACAGAUUGUAAGACAAAAGCCCAUAGACUGCAACGGACCCCCUCCUUCUUCAUUACACCCACAAAUUCCACUGAUCUGGAUAAUCUCUCAAUCAAGAAAGGAGGAAAUAAACCUGUGAAAUUGUAGCGAUAGGCAGUGACAUUUCCACGCAAGCCUCCAGAGUAACAGCGUAAUUGUGAAAAUGACAAAUUUCUUAGACUAAGACAAAUCGGAGCACCUAAAGAAAACCAGCGAACACCACCUUCCAUUUUUUAUUUAAAAUUAUGGUAAUAAGCUCUACUCUUUGUAGCAGGAUGCAACUGUUACUCUUUGCCAAGUUCUAUGGAAAUUUUGAAAUCCAUGUAAUAUAAGGCAGGCACUGGUAUUACAGCCUUAGAGUAAAACAAACUUGCGGCCAAGAUGUGCAGGUCUGAUUUAGUUUUGCACUGCUAUGUGUAUUUGCAGAGUUGUUAAACAACAUCCUGGGAUGCUAAAAAAAAAAAAAAAAAAAGUCAUAAUGAAAUUCGAAAUUCUGUUUCCUCAGCAGUUUUUUUUUCUGUAAUCUCAGAUUUAGUAAUUCCAGGAAAUUUUUGAUUACAUCAGCACACUAUGGUGGUCCCUCAUGCAAACAGUGAAAGCCACUCAGUUCCUCUGUGCUUAAAAUUCUCUUACCAGUAAAACUAUUUUGGUAUGAAGGGUUUUCUUUUUCUGUUUGUGAACUUAAUUACUCAGUAACUACAGUUAUGUUAGCUCAGAAACUUA
Aquila chrysaetos chrysaetos is the source of this 3210-nucleotide long non-coding RNA. RefSeq lists it as uncharacterized. Lineage: Eukaryota; Metazoa; Chordata; Aves; Accipitriformes; Accipitridae. The transcript has 4 exons. The record is from RefSeq and is a predicted model, not a curated record.